UACGAAGGGGGCUAGCGUUGCUCGGAAUCACUGGGCGUAAAGGGCGCGUAGGCGGCCACUGCAAGUCAGUUGUGAAAUCUCCGGGCUUAACCCGGAAAGGUCAACUGAUACUGCAGGGCUAGAGUGCAGAAGGGGCAACUGGAAUUCUCGGUGUAGCGGUGAAAUGCGUAGAUAUCGAGAGGAACACCUGCGGCGAAGGCGGGUUGCUGGGCUGACACUGACGCUGAGGCGCGAAAGCUAGGGGAGCGAACGGG
Molecule: ribosomal RNA, 254 nt
Filed under: uncultured bacterium
Lineage: Bacteria
Description: partial 16S ribosomal RNA
Rfam family: Bacterial small subunit ribosomal RNA
Source: RNAcentral